RNAcentral lists this transfer RNA (59 nucleotides) under Camelus bactrianus (Bactrian camel). It matches the Rfam family "tRNA". Rfam says of the family: Transfer RNA (tRNA) molecules are approximately 80 nucleotides in length. Their secondary structure includes four short double-helical elements and three loops (D, anti-codon, and T loops). The record is from Rfam by way of RNAcentral. RNAcentral also lists the same sequence under 1 other name. Lineage: Eukaryota; Metazoa; Chordata; Mammalia; Artiodactyla; Camelidae.
GGGUAUAUAGCUCAGUGGUAGAGUGCAUGAUGUCCUGGAUUCAAUCCCCAGUACUUCCA